This 67-nucleotide transfer RNA is filed under the name Sphaerodactylus townsendi. Its description in RNAcentral is "tRNA-Ala". Lineage: Eukaryota; Metazoa; Chordata; Lepidosauria; Squamata; Sphaerodactylidae. The record is from RNAcentral.
GGUAGCUCAGUGGUAGGGCAUCUGCUUGGCAUGCACAAGGUUCCAGGUUCCAUCCCAGUCAUCUCCA